UACGUAGGGUCCGAGCGUUGUCCGGAAUUACUGGGCGUAAAGAGCUCGUAGGUGGUUUGUCGCGUUGUUCGUGAAAACUCACAGCUCAACUGUGGGCGUGCGGGCGAUACGGGCAGACUAGAGUACUGCAGGGGAGACUGGAAUUCCUGGUGUAGCGGUGAAAUGCGCAGAUAUCGGGAAGAACACCCGUGGCGAAGGCGGCUCUCUGGGACGGUACUGACGCUGAGACGCGAAAGCGUGGGGAGCGAACAGG
RNAcentral lists this ribosomal RNA (253 nucleotides) under uncultured bacterium. Its description in RNAcentral is "partial 16S ribosomal RNA". It matches the Rfam family "Bacterial small subunit ribosomal RNA", at positions 524 to 776 of the family's 1533-position model. The record is from RNAcentral.